This is a long non-coding RNA of Cavia porcellus (domestic guinea pig), 2910 nucleotides long. RefSeq lists it as uncharacterized. The transcript is spliced from 2 exons. The record is from RefSeq and is a predicted model, not a curated record. Lineage: Eukaryota; Metazoa; Chordata; Mammalia; Rodentia; Caviidae.
AGGUCGCGCAGGCUGAUGACGUCAGAGAGCGACAGUGGGCGGCGCCUCGGGCCGGCGGUGUCCGACCUUAUAAAUACCAGAAGCCAGCGGCGUGGAGGCCCUUUCUCCUUUUGCCUGGCCUAGAUUCCAUGGAAAUACCCUGCAGAAGUCCAGCUGAAGACCUAGAGCCCAUAAUAAUGACUCAUGCAAGUCUGUUUCACGGAUCUGUGCUGCGAAGGCCCAAAGGUAAGGGUGGAAACUAGAAAGUCCGUGUCAGUGGGGCAAAGGAUCUGUGCUAGUAGGCCGAGAGUUCUGCUCUGGAGCCAAGAGGUGACACUCAAAAUAAGAACCAAGUUUCCCCCCAAAAGUACUACAGCCAUCCUCAGCAACAGCGAGGUCCUGAGUUCCUGAGAUCCUCCAACAAUGAGAACAGCUGAAUUCAUAUCAGGAAGCUAGUGUGAAAAACUUUUCCUACUAUUCUUUUCCUGCUGUCUUUUCUCUAUUUUUUACUUUUUAACCAUGGACAUCAGUUGCUUUAUAAUCCAGAAGCAUGAAGUAUAUUCAGAAUAUCAUUCAACCAACUCUACGAUCCAUUCACAGGACAGUUUUCAUUCUGCAAUCUGAACUCCAUACCAUCAAAGAACAACUUCUCUGCCCUCUUUCGAGCCCCUGAUAGCACUUCUUCUACUUUCUGUCACUGUGGGCACCUCACAGAAAUGAACUUUUCCCAUAUGCAUCCUUUGUGUGGUUGCUUAUUUCACUGGGCAUCAUGUCUUCAAGUUUCAUCGAUGUUGUCGCAGGUGUCAGAAUGACCUUCCUUCUCUAGGCUGAAUAUCCCACCGCAUGUGUAUACUACCUUUGUUUCUACACUCAUUCACACUGAUGGAUGCCUGGGCUGCUUCUAGUUCUUGGCUCCUGUGAGUAACAUUGCUGUGAGCAUAGUGUGCAAAUACCCGUUCGAGAUGCUAUCAGUUCUUUGGGUUAUAAUCAGAUGGAUUACAGUUUAAAAAUAUAAAAGCCAUAGAUAUAUUUGUUGAGAUUUUGAUAGAAACAUGGUACAUUUGUGACAUAAUAUGGGUAGACCUGGAAGCAUCACAGUGUUGAGACUCCCCUUGGGGACUCUAGGCUGGCUUGACACCUAUGUGUCUUUUACUCUGGGGAGUGGGAGAGUAGCUGGCUGCUCCUCUGACUUGUGCACUAUACUUGUCCUUACUGACAGCCCAACACUGAAGGGAUCUGGGAGCUGAUGACUGGAGGGGUCUUCUACUGCUUGGGCAUGGUGUUCUUCAAGAGCGACGGCAGGAUCCCCUUUGCCCAUGCCAUCUGGCAUCUGUUUGUGGCAUUUGGUGCUGGUACUCACUACUAUGCCAUCUGGAGGUACCUCUACCUUCCCAGCACCCUGCAGACCAAGGUGUCCAAAUGAAGUGGCCUGGAAUCCACAGGUCAUUUGGGCUUUUGGAGCAAAGCAUCAUGGGAAGUGAUCUGCAAACUCUAUCCCAGAGCACAGUACUGAGGCCUGUCUUCCCACCCUCAAAAGAUGGGUGUCAGGUUUCUUCCAGUGACAGACAGACCUUCCUUUGGCUGCCCACAGAGAAGGAAAGAUUCAGUAAUUUUCACAGAGGAGCAAUUAACCUCGUAAUGUGUUUCUACUUUAGAAAAUGUUUUCUAAUACAACCAACAUUAAUACUUUCAGAAAAGGGCAUAUUGCAGAAUGACAGGCCAAGAGGUGCUUUUUAAGGUCUUGAGGAAUCUAGUGAGGAGUCUGGCAGUUUUUGUGCAGCCUGGUAUCCAGGGUCUCCUUCCAGCUGCCAAAGUCUUGACGGGGGAAUUGUCCCCUGUUCAAGAAAAGUCAUCCGGCUUAUAGAUGAGGGAUGGGGAGUAUCCUUGACCAGGGCAGACAGAACCAAUCAAUUGCAGCCUGUGUGGGGUCAAAUUCUUUUCAACAGUGUGCCCUGGGCAGAUCCUGAUGGAAUUUUUUGGCCUGUGCUGACUGGCGAGCCCUGAAGUGGCAUCAUGGUGGCAGCAGUUAAAAGUCACCACUUUGGAGACCACAUUUAUCUUCUGACACUAACAAUUUCUGCUUCUUCUCCCCUUUUCCCCCUUUUUGGGGAGCUUCUGCAGUGGGGAGCGUGGUGGCAGGAGAGGGAUGCAGAGGCACACACCCGGAUGCUGUACUCCACCAUUGCUGCUUCUCAGCACAGAAAAGGAGCCAGCAGUCGGCCUUUCUGACUCUGUGGGCCCGGCCAUUUCUUCUCAUCCUGGAAACUUCACUCGUUCUGCCACAGUGGAGGAAGCAGAUCCUGGCAACUUGAACACUUGCUUCCUGUUUAGGGCUCGUGACAUCAACACUUGGAUUCUUGCUGGGUGCCAACAGCACACUGCCACCUGGACAAGAACUGAACCGAAAUCUCAGCAUUUCUGGAGAAAGAAUCUGUCUCAGAGCUCAAGGUUCUGAUUCUGCAAAUCCCAUGUGGAUGGGGUGGAUGAGGACAGGCCAAGAUAGGGUGGCAUUCCAGGGCAGCCCAGGGCACUGGCACCUGGGACCCUGUGUGCCCAAGCCAGUAUUAAACCACCUUGACCUCUCAGAGGUCUCUCUGAUAGACCUGGGGGACAAAUCCUCAGGUUCCCCUGUAUGGGAGCCUUGGCAGAGUGACCUGGUCCUUCAACCUCGCCAGGGCCCAGGUGCCCCACAGCAUGCCCCUGCUAGGCCGCCCGCCUGCACACUACCUGGACAAGAGCUGAACCGAAAUCUCAGCAUUUCUGGAGAAAGAAUCUGUCUCAGAGCUCAAGGUUCUGAUUCUGCAAAUCCCAUGUGGAUGGGGUGGAUGAGGACAGGCCAAGAUAGGGUGGCAUUCCAGGGCAGGCCAGGGCACUGGCACCUGGGAUCCCGUGUGCCCAAGGCAUUAUUAAACCACCUUGAUACCUUCCUCA